This 467-nucleotide ribosomal RNA is filed under the name uncultured bacterium. RNAcentral describes it as "partial 16S ribosomal RNA". It matches the Rfam family "Bacterial small subunit ribosomal RNA", at positions 28 to 506 of the family's 1533-position model. The record is from RNAcentral.
GACGAACGCUGGCGGCGUGCUUAACACAUGCAAGUCGAACGGAAAGGCCCUGCUUUUGUGGGGUGCUCGAGUGGCGAACGGGUGAGUAACACGUGAGUAACCUGCCCUUGACUUUGGGAUAACUUCAGGAAACUGGGGCUAAUACCGGAUAGGAGCUCCUGCUGCAUGGUGGGGGUUGGAAAGUUUCGGCGGUUGGGGAUGGACUCGCGGCUUAUCAGCUUGUUGGUGGGGUAGUGGCUUACCAAGGCUUUGACGGGUAGCCGGCCUGAGAGGGUGGCCGGCCACGUUGGGACUGAGAUACGGCCCAGACUCCUACGGGAGGCAACAGUGGGGAAUAUUGCACAAUGGGCGGAAGCCUGAUGCAGCAACGCCGCGUGCGGGAUGACGGCCUUCGGGUUGUAAACCGCUUUCGCCUGUGACGAAGCGUGAGUGACGGUAAUGGGUAAAGAAGCACCGGCUAACUACGU